Molecule: ribosomal RNA, 231 nt
Filed under: Microbacterium maritypicum
Lineage: Bacteria; Bacillati; Actinomycetota; Actinomycetes; Micrococcales; Microbacteriaceae
Description: Microbacterium liquefaciens partial 16S ribosomal RNA
Rfam family: Bacterial small subunit ribosomal RNA
Source: RNAcentral
GAGCUCGUAGGCGGUUUGUCGCGUCUGCUGUGAAAUCCGGAGGCUCAACCUCCGGCCUGCAGUGGGUACGGGCAGACUAGAGUGCGGUAGGGGAGAUUGGAAUUCCUGGUGUAGCGGUGGAAUGCGCAGAUAUCAGGAGGAACACCGAUGGCGAAGGCAGAUCUCUGGGCCGUAACUGACGCUGAGGAGCGAAAGGGUGGGGAGCAAACAGGAUUAGAAACCCUNGUAGUC